UUUAAAUUCCGCUUUUUUCCCUUCCCUUCCCUUGUCAUCUUUCUCCUCUCCACAGUCCACACCACCCCUGCUUCUAUCUAUCUAUCUUUCUUUUUCUUCUUCCUUUGUUCCCUGCUUUUGGCCACUGCACCAUCUCUUCCUUUACCCACUGCUUCCAUCAUCACCGUACCGUCAAGAAGAAAUAGAGAACAGGCAAGCGCUACGGUAUGCUUAUCCUAUUUAUGUCCCUCCACCGUUUAUCUUUUAUCUUCUACCUCCCGUCUUCACCGUCUUAUUUUGUUUCCUACUUCAAACUUUGAUGAAACCAAACUCAUAAGCCUUCCACACACGUGCUUUCUAGUAAUUUUUGGGCGGUUUGGCCUAUGGGGGCAAGCUGAAUGGGGGUGUCAUCAAUGCCUUAAAUGACUUUAGUUUCUUCUUCUUCUUCUUUCUCACCUAUCAGAAAUACAAAAAAUUAGAAGAUGGAUUUUCUUUAAUUUGUUUUUUAAAGCAAAGGAAUGAAUCCAUGAAGUGAUAGGAUAUAAAUAGGCUAAGUUGUUUGGUAAGAAUCACAUUCCUCUUUCUUCUUUCUUUGUCACUUAGUGUGUUAAAAUGAAGUUGCAAUCAAAACUUAAUAGUUCAGAAGGGUGAAAUACAAACAAUUUUUUAAUGGAAGGAAAUAGGUUAAUUAAUUAUGGUAAAUAUUUGUCAUAUUUGCAGCAAAGAAAGCUAGAAUUUGAGAAUAAGAACCAUAAUGAUGCAUUAAUGCAUCCUCUGUUUAAAUAUCAGAUUGUAUACAAAAUUAAUUCUACCCAAAUGUUGCGUAGAAAAUUUUGUCAAAAUAUUUGUCUCUUGUUGCUUAGCUAAAACUCUAAACACUGUUUGGGAACUCUUUCUUCUUAACCUUUGGGUGCACAAAUGUUGCUUAGGGAUAUUGUUUUGCGAAGGUGACAGUGGAAGAGCUCUUAGUCCCAUGGUUGCUUUGUUUAUAGCAGAAGGUCUCUUCCUCCACUAUUUUUUUUACAUAGGUCUCAUCCUCUACUAGGCUUUGCGAGCUAGCCUCUUAUACACACACAAAGAUAUAGAAGCAUAAUUUUAACUUGGUGAAUUUGGUGGCUUGAGCUUGAAUACGUGGCCAUUUCCCAAACUAUUAAAAUUGUGAGGAUCGAUAGGUUUUGCCUUUUUGGUCAAAUAUACAACUAUAACAGUUUUUUUUUGCAUAAAAUCAUAUUUUGAAUAAUAUAUAUAUAUAUAUAUAUAUACAAAAUGUAGAAAGGGAAACUAUAGGAUAAGCAUACGGUAGCAGUGGGUAAAGGAAAAGAUAGUGUGGUUGCUAGGGAGCAAAGGAAAAAGAAGAAAGAAUGAUGGAACACGUGGUAUGUUAGGAUUAAUGAUGGAACACGUGGUAUGUUAGGAUUCAUAUCAUACGCUUAGUUCGUUUCAUCAUUGCUUAUCAAAAUACAUAGGUAAAUGUUGACAUUACAAUCCUAAGUUUGUAUUAUAUGACUAAAUAUAACGUGGGAAAACAACUUACGUUAGCAAUUAAUAUAAAUGUUUGUAGUACAUGAGGUUAAAUUGAACAAAUUCAUGUUAAAGCCUGUGAUCUUAAGUCCAAUUAGAGAGAUAGAUUGUAUUAACUAUUCGAGUUUGAUUAACUUCUAGAAAUAAAGACAUAUAUAUAUAUAUAUAUAUAUAAGAUUGUUUGGACUGAUAAUGUAUAAAAAAAAUUAUCUUAAAUUUGUGUAAGUGAAUGAAUAUGUGUGUAACUCAUGUAUUUUAAUACGUUAAAAAAAUGUGCUCCCAAGGUUGUGAGCCAGAAGGUGAUAUGUUAGGUACAUAAUUGUUAGCCCUAGUUUUUCAAAUGUUUUGAUAUAAUAAAAUAAAACUUUAAACUCUUACUCAGUUAAAUUUGUAAUCGGUUGAUAUAGGCCCUUAAAAUUAUUUUCAAAGUGUUUAGAAACUCAGAUUUGUAAAAUGUCUUUGAAAGAUAUUGGUUCAUGACCAAUUUUACCUUAUUGAGACACUUCGACCAACACAAGUGGAUACUUGUAUUGAUAAAAGUAAGUUAGAAAGCAUCUCGAGCAUUCCUUCGAACUUCUACCAAUACUUGAAGGUUCUUCUCUUGGUACACAUGCAAUUGUAUCGAUACUUAGGAGGAGUUUUAUCGAUAGAAGUAAGUUAGAGAACACCCCAAACCACCCAUCAAACUUUACCGGUACUUAAAAGGGUCUUUUACCAAUACAAGUAAGCCAAUAAGCAUUUUUGGGUUCCCCUGCGCCUUCUACUAAUACAAGUAUUGGUACAAGUUUGAGCCCUUGAAACCCUCAGACUUCUACUAAUACAAGUGGUCUUCUGCCAAUACAUCGAACUCCAACAGUCACAUUUUUUAAGACUUCUAUAUCGACACAAAUCCACUUGUACCAAAAUAAGCAAUUUGCAACCUACAAUUAAUGCUUAAAUUUAAUGUUGCAACAACUCUAAUUUACUCCCAACGUCCCCAAGGUUGUUAGAAGGCAUAAAUACAAGUCAAUAGCUCCAUAUUAAAGAUAAGAAACAAGUUUGCCAGGUCAAUUAUACAAAAAUCUAAUAUAUUCAUCGAUAUUCUCUUUGUUCUUUAUACACACUCGGGUAACCAGAUCUCUUUUAUUAUUUUCAAGUGUUGUACUGUUAUUGAGUGAGCUUUAUCAUUGUAAUAUCUUCCUUGAGAGGUGUCUUUAAUCAUUGUUAUUAUUUAUCAUAUUUGUAAGGGGUUGCUUAAGGUUACACACACUUGGGUAACCAUCUCUUUUAUUCUUUUCAAUUGUUGUAUUGUCAUUGAGCGAGCUUUAUCAUUGUAAUAUCUUCCUUGAGAGAUGUCUUCAAUCAUUGUUAUUAUUUAUCAUAUUUGUAAGGGUUUGCUUAAGGUUUUUGAGUAGAAACCAUAAGGGAAAUGACUCUAUCUUGCCC
Molecule: long non-coding RNA, 2925 nt
Filed under: Gossypium raimondii (Peruvian cotton)
Lineage: Eukaryota; Viridiplantae; Streptophyta; Magnoliopsida; Malvales; Malvaceae
Description: long non-coding RNA (GRAI_LNC010246)
Source: RNAcentral